Molecule: ribosomal RNA, 253 nt
Filed under: uncultured bacterium
Lineage: Bacteria
Description: partial 16S ribosomal RNA
Rfam family: Bacterial small subunit ribosomal RNA
Source: RNAcentral
UACAGAGGUCUCAAGCGUUGUUCGGAUUCAUUGGGCGUAAAGGGUGCGUAGGCGGCGCGGUAAGUCGGGUGUGAAAUCUCGGGGCUUAACUCCGAAACUGCAUUCGAUACUGCCGUGCUUGAGGACUGGAGAGGAGACUGGAAUUUACGGUGUAGCGGUGAAAUGCGUAGAUAUCGUAAGGAAGACCAGUGGCGAAGGCAGGUCUCUGGGCCGCUACUGACGCUGAGAAGCGAAAGCAUGGGGAGCGAACAGG